Molecule: ribosomal RNA, 253 nt
Filed under: uncultured bacterium
Lineage: Bacteria
Description: partial 16S ribosomal RNA
Rfam family: Bacterial small subunit ribosomal RNA
Source: RNAcentral
UACGUAGGGUGCAAGCGUUAAUCGGAAUUACUGGGCGUAAAGCGUGCGCAGGCGGUUAUGUAAGACAGUUGUGAAAUCCCCGGGCUCAACCUGGGAACUGCGUCUGAUACUGGGAGGCUUGAGUAUGGGAGAGGGAUGUAGAAUUCCAGGUGUAGCGGUGAAAUGCGUAGAUAUCUGGAGGAAUACCGGUGGCGAAGGCGGCAUCCUGGACCAUAACUGACGCUGAGGCGCGAAAGCUAGGGGAGCAAACGGG